UCUCAUUUCUGUCUCGACACUCUAUCUCAAAGAAACCCUAGACGCCUUUGUAUCCUCCGUCGGCUCCACCUUUGCCGCCCGGAAAUCGCCUUACAUCGCUGGAGCUUCUCCAAACUACUCCAAAUUAACACCAGGCAAUCCCCUUUCCCUCCUUUUUUUCAAAUCCCCAAAUCAUUUUCCUCAAAUCUUGAUCAAACUGCUCGAAUCUUGGACCUGAAAUCCAGACCUAAAAAUCCUAAGUCAACCAAACAGCCCUAAACUCACACCAUAGGACCCUCAACCAUCAUUCACCACUAUCCUACCCUUGAUUUUCAAAAAAUUCCCGCCAAAUUCUUCAAAUCUUAAAUCUAAGAUCCACAAAACACAAACGUUUUUUCCUUUUUCGAUUUUUCGGUCAAUUCCUUAUGUGUUCGAACCCAAAACUUCCAUUAGUCGACUGCGCUGGUUGAUAGCAGUCGAUGAAUGGUAGUUCAAGUUCAUUUUACCCCGUUGAAGCUUGGUCAAAUUCAUAGCUGGUCCAGUUUUAAAACGAGCUUAGAUAAUUUCUUUCACUUUUCUGUUUAUUUUAUCUUUUUUUGUUGUUCUUCUUCAUGUUUAAUUACUUCUUCCAGUUGCAUGUUUUAGGUUUGCAACUUCAGGUUUUUUUUCUUUUGUUCACGACUGUUUAGUUUAUUUAGUUGCUUCAGUGUAGUAGGUAAAUUAAAGCAUGCUGGAAUUUCACUACUUGAAGUAUAUCUUCAAUUCCAGGAAUUUAAUUUAAUUAGGGUUCACUUUUAGGUUUGAUACACAAAAUAGUUCUUCUGUUUCUUCCAUCUUCCAUCUUAAACUUAUGUUCAGUGUUUGUUUUGGG
Molecule: long non-coding RNA, 850 nt
Filed under: Nicotiana benthamiana
Lineage: Eukaryota; Viridiplantae; Streptophyta; Magnoliopsida; Solanales; Solanaceae
Description: long non-coding RNA (NBEN_LNC013181)
Source: RNAcentral